Molecule: ribosomal RNA, 387 nt
Filed under: uncultured bacterium
Lineage: Bacteria
Description: bacterial SSU rRNA
Rfam family: Bacterial small subunit ribosomal RNA
Source: RNAcentral
AAUGAACGCUGGCGGCGUGCUUUACACAUGCAAGUUGAGCGAGGCGGGGAGCAAUCCCUAGUCGAGCGGCGAACGGGUGAGUAACGCGUGGGUACCUGCCCUGAGGUGGGGGAUAACCCGGGGAAACUCGGGCUAAUACCGCAUAUGAUCGAGAGGUCAAAGAGGGCUCGCAAGAGCUCUUGCCAUAGGAGGGGCCCGCGUUCGAUUAGCUAGUUGGUAGGGUAAUGGCCACCAAGGCGACGAUCGAUAGCCGGCCUGAGAGGGUGAUCGGCCACACUGGAACUGAGACACGGUCCAGACUCCUACGGGAGGCAGCAGUGGGGAAUUUUGCGCAAUGGGCUAACGCCUGACGCAGCAACGCCGCGUGGAGGAUGAAGGUCCUUGGAU